ACGAACGCUGGCGGCAGGCUUAACACAUGCAAGUCGAACGCCCCCGCAAGGGGGAGUGGCAGACGGGUGAGUAACACGUGGGAACAUGCCCUUCGGUUCGGAACAACGUUUGGAAACGGACGCUAAUACCGGAUACGCCCUUUUGGGGAAAGGCUUCGGCCGCCGGAGGAUUGGCCCGCGUUCGAUUAGCUUGAUGGCGGGGUAACGGCCCACCAUGGCGACGAUCGAUAGCUGGUCUGAGAGGAUGGCCAGCCACAUUGGGACUGAGACACGGCCCAAACUCCUACGGGAGGCAGCAGUGGGGAAUAUUGGACAAUGGGCGCAAGCCUGAUCCAGCCAUGCCGCGUGAGUGAUGACGGCCUUAGGGUUGUAAAGCUCUUUCGCCCGCGACGAUAAUGACGGUAGCGGGAGAAGAAGCCCCGGCUAACUUCGUGCCAGCAGCCGCGGUAAUACGAAGGGGGCUAGCGUUGUUCGGAAUCACUGGGCGUAAAGGGUGCGCAGGCGGGAUCUUAAGUCAGGGGUGAAAUCCCGAGGCUCAACCUCGGAACUGCCCUUGAUACUGGGGUUCUUGAGUCCGGAAGAGGUGGGUGGAACUGCGAGUGUAGAGGUGAAAUUCGUAGAUAUUCGCAAGAAC
Molecule: ribosomal RNA, 634 nt
Filed under: uncultured bacterium
Lineage: Bacteria
Description: bacterial SSU rRNA
Rfam family: Bacterial small subunit ribosomal RNA
Source: RNAcentral